RNAcentral lists this ribosomal RNA (742 nucleotides) under uncultured bacterium. RNAcentral's name for it is "bacterial SSU rRNA". It matches the Rfam family "Bacterial small subunit ribosomal RNA", at positions 8 to 796 of the family's 1533-position model. The record is from RNAcentral.
AGAGUUUGAUCAUGGCUCAGAGCGAACGCUGGCGGCAGGCCUAACACAUGCAAGUCGAACGGAUCCUUCGGGAUUAGUGGCGGACGGGUGAGUAACACGUGGGAACGUGCCUUUUGGUUCGGAACAACUCAGGGAAACUUGAGCUAAUACCGGAUAAGCCUUUCGAGGGAAAGAUUUAUCGCCAUUAGAGCGGCCCGCGUAGGAUUAGCUAGUUGGUGAGGUAAAGGCUCACCAAGGCUACGAUCCUUAGCUGGUCUGAGAGGAUGAUCAGCCACAUUGGGACUGAGACACGGCCCAAACUCCUACGGGAGGCAGCAGUGGGGAAUCUUGCGCAAUGGGCGAAAGCCUGACGCAGCCAUGCCGCGUGAAUGAUGAAGGUCUUAGGAUUGUAAAAUUCUUUCACCGGGGACGAUAAUGACGGUACCCGGAGAAGAAGCCCCGGCUAACUUCGUGCCAGCAGCCGCGGUAAUACGAAGGGGGCUAGCGUUGCUCGGAAUUACUGGGCGUAAAGGGAGCGUAGGCGGAUAGUUUAGUCAGAGGUGAAAGCCCAGGGCUCAACCUUGGAAUUGCCUUUGAUACUGGCUAUCUUGAGUACGGAAGAGGUAUGUGGAACUCCGAGUGUAGAGGUGAAAUUCGUAGAUAUUCGGAAGAACACCAGUGGCGAAGGCGACAUACUGGUCCGUUACUGACGCUGAGGCUCGAAAGCGUGGGGAGCAAACAGGAUUAGAUACCCUCGUAGUCC